CCAGACUCCUACGGGAGGCAGCAGUGGGGGAUAUUGCACAAUGGGGGGAACCCUGAUGCAGCGACGCCGCGUGGGUGAAGGAGCGCUUCGGCGCGUAAAGCCCUAUCGGCAGGGGAGAAGAUGACGGUACCUGACCAAGAAGCCCCGGCUAACUACGUGCCAGCAGCCGCGGUAAUACGUAGGGGGCAAGCGUUAUCCGGAUUUACUGGGUGUAAAGGGGGCGCAGACGGCAAUGCAAGCCAGGAGUGAAAGCCCGGGGCCCAACCCCGGGACUGCUCUUGGAACUGCAUGGCUGGAGUACAGGAGGGGCAGGCGGAAUUCCUAGUGUAGCGGUGAAAUGCGUAGAUAUUAGGAGGAACACCGGUGGCGAAGGCGGCCUGCUGGACUGUGACUGACGUUGAGGCCCGAAAGCGUGGGGAGCGAACAGGAUUAGAUACCCUCGUA
This 444-nucleotide ribosomal RNA is filed under the name uncultured bacterium. Its description in RNAcentral is "bacterial SSU rRNA". It matches the Rfam family "Bacterial small subunit ribosomal RNA", at positions 331 to 792 of the family's 1533-position model. The record is from RNAcentral.